RNAcentral lists this ribosomal RNA (468 nucleotides) under uncultured bacterium. RNAcentral's name for it is "partial 16S ribosomal RNA". It matches the Rfam family "Bacterial small subunit ribosomal RNA", at positions 28 to 507 of the family's 1533-position model. The record is from RNAcentral.
GACGAACGCUGGCGGCGUGCUUAACACAUGCAAGUCGAACGGAAAGGCCCUGCUUUUGUGGGGUGCUCGAGUGGCGAACGGGUGAGUAACACGUGAGUAACCUGCCCUUGACUUUGGGAUAACUUCAGGAAACUGGGGCUAAUACCGGAUAGGAGCUCCUGCUGCAUGGUGGGGGUUGGAAAGUUUCGGCGGUUGGGGAUGGACUCGCGGCUUAUCAGCUUGUUGGUGGGGUAGUGGCUUACCAAGGCUGUGACGGGUAGCCGGCCUGAGAGGGUGACCGGCCACAUUGGGACUGAGAGACGGCGCAGAAUCCUACGGGAGGCAGCAGUGGGGAAUAUGGCACAAUGGGCGGAAGCCUGAUGCAGCAACGCCGCGUGCGGGAUGACGGCCUUCGGGUUGUAAACCGCUUUCGCCUGUGACGAAGCGUGAGUGACGGUAAUGGGUAAAGAAGCACCGGCUAACUACGUG